This 67-nucleotide transfer RNA is filed under the name Ctenophora environmental sample. It matches the Rfam family "tRNA". From Rfam's summary of the family: Transfer RNA (tRNA) molecules are approximately 80 nucleotides in length. Their secondary structure includes four short double-helical elements and three loops (D, anti-codon, and T loops). The record is from RNAcentral. Lineage: Eukaryota; Metazoa; Ctenophora.
GGGAAUAACUCAGUGGUAGAGUGCGACCUUGCCAAGGUCGAAGUUGCGGGUUCAAAUCCCGUUUCCC